CUGUCCCCAGAUAACCCCACAUAUGCAGGACAUCACGGCACCCUGCAUUUGCAUAUUUAAAGGCUAGGGUGAGAGGGCCAAUUUUUUGGCUGGCUACGUGAAUGACAUACCUGGUCAAACCAAUCCCCUGGGCCCUAUGCAAAUCAGACAUCACCUUCUCCAGCCUCCUAGUAUCCUAAUAUAACCGCCUGUUCCUGCCUGCCCCUGCCUGCCCCCUACCACCCCAGCACUCGGGGUUUCUUCUCUGGGCUUGGAGCCCCCUCCAUCCGUCUCUGUAUGGGGGAGCUUCUUCCUUCUUUAUUUUUUGCCUAUUUAACUCUCUGCACCUUAAAACCACUCCAUGUGUGUCCCAUAUUCUUUUAUCUAAAUCGGCGUGAGGCAAAGGACCCUGGUGUUCCUCCAGUCAUCGGAGCCUUAUCAGACAGUUAUUUUCAUUGCAAUCAUCCUGGCUUCCCAACUCAUAAACCUAGGAGGUAUUCUUGAAUCCUUCCUCCGUCUCGCCCACCCUUAACACAAUAUUAAGUAUCAGGAACAAAGGUCUAUUGCUGUACCUCCUCAACAGCUGGACUUUUUGAUAGUGCCUCUAUCAUAUCUAUUUCCCCUAAUACAUUCCAGGCACUGCCCCAGUUAAGCUGUCUUCAUCUGUUACACAGUCUAUUGUAAUUGUCUCCUCUCCAUCUCUUCUGCAUUGAGUCUUGGUGUGACCAAGCUAAACUCCAUAUUGUCUCAGCAUGAGCUUUCCAAAACCCCGUUUUCAUCACAUCGAGCUAUUUAAAAAAUGCUACAGGGUUCACUUUUUACUCGUCAGAUGGGCAAAACAUUUAAAAACAAAAUUUGAUGAAAACUUGACGUCGCCAAGAAUGUGCAGACUUCUGAGUGACGUGCAAGUGUGUCCAGAAUUGGUGGGUUCUUCGUCUCACCCACUUCAAGGAUGAAGCCACAGACCCUCAUGGUGAGUGUUACAGUUCUUAAAGAUAGUGUGUCCGGAGUUUCUUCCUUCUGAUGUUCGGAUGUGUUCACAGUUUCUUCCUUCUGGUGGGUUCGUGGUCUCUCUGGCUUCAGGAGCGAAGCGGCAGACCUUCGCAGUGAAUGUUACAGCUCUUAAGGCGGUGCAUCUGGAGUGUUCGUUACUGCUGUCUGGAAUUGUUCAUUCCUCUUGGUAGGUUUGUGAUUUCCCUGGCCUCAUGAGUGAAGCUGCAGACCUUCGCAGUGAGUGUUAUAGCUCAUAAAGGCAGUGCAGACCGAAAGAGUGAGCAGCACCAAGAUUUAUUGCAAACAGCAAAAGAACAAAGCUUCCACAGUGUGGAAGCCAAACGGAGUAGGUUGCU
Molecule: long non-coding RNA, 1328 nt
Filed under: Homo sapiens (human)
Lineage: Eukaryota; Metazoa; Chordata; Mammalia; Primates; Hominidae
Description: HSALNT0107524
Source: RNAcentral